UCAAUCAUUUUCACAAAUUCACCAUACUCAUCCAAUUCAAAGGUAAAUUAAAGGUCUAUCACUACCCAUGACAUAUUAUCAUAUAAUACCCGUUAAUCAACGAUAAACCCCCCUUACCUGAGUUAAUCCGGCAACUUCCGAGCUCUAAGCUUCUCCUUCCUUCAACCUUCGUUCUCUGGCUUUUUGCCCUUUCUCACGUUCUGCCUCUUUUUUUCCUUUUUCACGUGAAAACAAUAAACCUUUUUACCAAAUGGGACCUUUUUACUGAUUUCCACUUUUAUUCUAAUUAUAAAAUAAUAAUCCAAUAAUAAUAAUCCCAAUAAUUAUUAUUCCACAAAUAAUAAUAUU
This 348-nucleotide long non-coding RNA is filed under the name Lathyrus oleraceus (garden pea). Its description in RNAcentral is "Pisum sativum (pea) long non-coding RNA (PSAT_LNC002193)". Lineage: Eukaryota; Viridiplantae; Streptophyta; Magnoliopsida; Fabales; Fabaceae. The record is from RNAcentral.